GAUGAACGCUGGCGGCGUGCCUAAUACAUGCAAGUCGAGCGAACAGACGAGGAGCUUGCUCCUCUGACGUUAGCGGCGGACGGGUGAGUAACACGUGGAUAACCUACCUAUAAGACUGGGAUAACUUCGGGAAACCGGAGCUAAUACCGGAUAAUAUAUUGAACCGCAUGGUUCAAUAGUGAAAGACGGUUUUGCUGUCACUUAUAGAUGGAUCCGCGCUGCAUUAGCUAGUUGGUAAGGUAACGGCUUACCAAGGCAACGAUGCGUAGCCGACCUGAGAGGGUGAUCGGCCACACUGGAACUGAGACACGGUCCAGACUCCUACGGGAGGCAGCAGUAGGGAAUCUUCCGCAAUGGGCGAAAGCCUGACGGAGCGACGCCGCGUGAGUGAUGAAGGUCUUCGGAUCGUAAAACUCUGUUAUUAGGGAAGAACAAAUGUGUAAGUAACUAUGCACGUCUUGACGGUACCUAAUCAGAAAGCCACGGCUAACUACGUG
RNAcentral lists this ribosomal RNA (497 nucleotides) under uncultured bacterium. RNAcentral's name for it is "partial 16S ribosomal RNA". It matches the Rfam family "Bacterial small subunit ribosomal RNA", at positions 28 to 507 of the family's 1533-position model. The record is from RNAcentral.